UACGAAGGGAGCUAGCGUUGUUCGGAAUCACUGGGCGUAAAGCGCACGUAGGCGGAUGUGUCAGUCAGGGGUGAAAUCCCGGAGCUCAACUUCGGAACUGCCUUUGAUACAGCACGUCUUGAGUCCGAUAGAGGUGGGUGGAAUUCCUAGUGUAGAGGUGAAAAUUCGUAGAUAUUAGGAAGAACACCGGUGGCGAAGGCGGCCCACUGGAUCGGUACUGACGCUGAGGUGCGAAAAGCGUGGGGGAGCAAGCAGG
RNAcentral lists this ribosomal RNA (256 nucleotides) under uncultured bacterium. Its description in RNAcentral is "partial 16S ribosomal RNA". It matches the Rfam family "Bacterial small subunit ribosomal RNA", at positions 524 to 776 of the family's 1533-position model. The record is from RNAcentral.